GCAGAUAGUGAUACAUAUCCUAGACUAUCAGAUGAUUACUAAAUUACUGAGGCUAUUGGUCCCCCAGAGGACGUGAGAUAUACUAACCUACCAAUAAAUGAGGCGCUUUAUGAUAGAUGUUUAUUAUAUUUCAAAUGGCCAUUGCACACAUAGGAAGCUAUGUCGGAUUAGAUUAUCUGGAAGCAUUGCCAAAGUGUUUGUAGUAGAGUUGUUUUGUCAUGCUUCCAGUGUAAUCUUAUGUAAUCUUAGCACUAUUUUCUGUUCUUUUGUAGUUGUGUUCAGGAUGAAGAAUUUGGUUUUGCCAUCGCUUACCAAGCUAAACUCAUAGUUAUCAGUUUCCAUGAUAUAUCAUACUGUACCUUCUUUUUUUGGGUUGUGGUUGCACAUUUCUUGUGUUAUGAGAAUGCAUAGAUUGAUUAGUUUUUCGUUGAUUCUCAUUCUAAAGCAACCUAACUCCUCUAUCCAGGUUUGAGUAACGGAUCCUUCAAUUAAGCAAUAUGGAUUACACUUCACUUUAUCACGUGAGUACUCUGUGUUUAAGAUUUCACAUGAUAUUCAAAGUAUAUAUGUCGG
Molecule: long non-coding RNA, 573 nt
Filed under: Nicotiana benthamiana
Lineage: Eukaryota; Viridiplantae; Streptophyta; Magnoliopsida; Solanales; Solanaceae
Description: long non-coding RNA (NBEN_LNC027800)
Source: RNAcentral